RNAcentral lists this ribosomal RNA (601 nucleotides) under Pholiota filamentosa. RNAcentral's name for it is "partial 5.8S ribosomal RNA". The stretch from base 237 to 391 matches the Rfam family "5.8S ribosomal RNA". Lineage: Eukaryota; Fungi; Basidiomycota; Agaricomycetes; Agaricales; Strophariaceae. The record is from RNAcentral.
UGCAGAAAGCUUAGAGAUCGUCGCUGGCCUUUGGAAACGAAGGCAUGUGCACGUCUCGACCCUCUGCUCGGUCCUCGUUCUCUUUCCUUUCGUAAAUCUUUGACACCCGUGCACCUCUUGUAGGUCCCUGAGAGGGGACCUAUGUCUUCAUAAACUCUUCGUAUGUCCAGGAAUGUAUCUAAAGCGUCGACCGGCUUGGCUGAACGUCCAGUCGGCGACGGUAAAGAACGUAAUACAACUUUCAGCAACGGAUCUCUUGGCUCUCGCAUCGAUGAAGAACGCAGCGAAUUGCGAUAAGUAAUGUGAAUUGCAGAUUUUCAGUGAAUCAUCGAAUCUUUGAACGCACCUUGCGCUCCUUGGUAUUCCGAGGAGCAUGCCUGUUUGAGUGUCAUUUAAUUCUCAACCAUCCCUCGAUUGAUUUUUUUCGAGGUUUGGCUUGGAUUUUGGGAGCUGCCGGCGACCGGAUCGGGUCCUUGGCUCUCCUCAAAAGCAUUAGCGACGGUGGUGUGACCUCCCCCGUGCAUGAACGGCCUUCGACGUGAUAAUGAUCGUCGUGGGCUGGAGUGCUAGCGGGCGUCGCGUCGCGUUCGGCGCUUCUAAU